RNAcentral lists this ribosomal RNA (433 nucleotides) under uncultured bacterium. RNAcentral's name for it is "partial 16S ribosomal RNA". It matches the Rfam family "Bacterial small subunit ribosomal RNA", at positions 29 to 507 of the family's 1533-position model. The record is from RNAcentral.
AACGAACGCUGGCGGCAGGCCUAACACAUGCAAGUCGAGCGAGGACUUCGGUCCUAGCGGCGGACGGGUGAGUAACGCGUGGGAACGUGCCCUUUGCUUCGGAAUAGCCCUGGGAAACUGGGAGUAAUACCGGAUGAGCCCUUUGGGGGAAAGAUUUAUCGGCGAAGGAUCGGCCCGCGUUGGAUUAGGUAGUUGGUGGGGUAAUGGCCUACCAAGCCGACGAUCCAUAGCUGGUUUGAGAGGAUGAUCAGCCACACUGGGACUGAGACACGGCCCAGACUCCUACGGGAGGCAGCAGUGGGGAAUCUUAGACAAUGGGGGAAACCCUGAUCGAGCCAUGCCGCGUGAGCGAUGAAGGCCUUAGGGUUGUAAAGCUCUUUCAGCUGGGAAGAGAAUGACGGUACCAGCAGAAGAAGCCCCGGCUAACUCCGUG